Molecule: ribosomal RNA, 496 nt
Filed under: Rhodococcus opacus
Lineage: Bacteria; Bacillati; Actinomycetota; Actinomycetes; Mycobacteriales; Nocardiaceae
Description: bacterial SSU rRNA
Rfam family: Bacterial small subunit ribosomal RNA
Source: RNAcentral
UCGGGGUACACGAGCGGCGAACGGGUGAGUAACACGUGGGUGAUCUGCCCUGCACUUCGGGAUAAGCCUGGGAAACUGGGUCUAAUACCGGAUAUGACCUUCGGCUGCAUGGCUGAGGGUGGAAGGUUUACUGGUGCAGGAUGGGCCCGCGGCCUAUCAGCUUGUUGGUGGGGUAAUGGCCUACCAAGGCGACGACGGGUAGCCGACCUGAGAGGGUGACCGGCCACACUGGGACUGAGACACGGCCCAGACUCCUACGGGAGGCAGCAGUGGGGAAUAUUGCACAAUGGGCGAAAGCCUGAUGCAGCGACGCCGCGUGAGGGAUGACGGCCUUCGGGUUGUAAACCUCUUUCAGCAGGGACGAAGCGAAAGUGACGGUACCUGCAGAAGAAGCACCGGCCAACUACGUGCCAGCAGCCGCGGUAAUACGUAGGGUGCAAGCGUUGUCCGGAAUUACUGGGCGUAAAGAGCUCGUAGGCGGUUUGUCGCGUCGUCU